This 2388-nucleotide ribosomal RNA is filed under the name Billgrantia endophytica. Its description in RNAcentral is "bacterial LSU rRNA". It matches the Rfam family "Bacterial large subunit ribosomal RNA", at positions 592 to 2925 of the family's 2925-position model. The record is from RNAcentral. Lineage: Bacteria; Pseudomonadati; Pseudomonadota; Gammaproteobacteria; Oceanospirillales; Halomonadaceae.
GGUGACCGCGUACCUUUUGUAUAAUGGGUCAGCGACUUAUUUUCAGUGGCGAGCUUAACCGAUUAGGGGAGGCGUAGCGAAAGCGAGUCUUAACUGGGCGACCAGUCGCUGGGAAUAGACCCGAAACCGGGCGAUCUAUCCAUGAGCAGGUUGAAGGUUGAGUAACAUCAACUGGAGGACCGAACCAGGAUCUGUUGAAAAAGAUUUGGAUGACUUGUGGAUCGGAGUGAAAGGCUAAUCAAGCCCGGAGAUAGCUGGUUCUCCUCGAAAGCUAUUUAGGUAGCGCCUCACGUAUCACCGCCGGGGGUAGAGCACUGUUUCGGCUAGGGGGUCAUCCCGACUUACCAACCCGAGGCAAACUCCGAAUACCGGUGAGUGCCAGCGUGGGAGACACACGGCGGGUGCUAACGUCCGUCGUGAAAAGGGAAACAACCCAGACCGUCAGCUAAGGUCCCGAAAUCCUGGUUAAGUGGGAAACGAGGUGGGAAGGCUCAGACAGCUAGGAGGUUGGCUUAGAAGCAGCCAUCCUUUAAAGAAAGCGUAAUAGCUCACUAGUCGAGUCGGCCUGCGCGGAAGAUGUAACGGGGCUAAACCAGGUACCGAAGCUACGGGUGAGCGUGCGUCCUUGGAUGCAGGCUCACGGUAGAGGAGCGUCGUGUAAGCCGAUGAAGGUGGAUUGAGAAGUCUGCUGGAGGUAUCACGAGUGCGAAUGCUGACAUGAGUAACGACAAGGGGAGUGAAAAACUCCCCCGCCGGAAGACCAAGGGUUUCUGUUCGACGCUAAUCGGAGCAGAGUGAGUCGGCCCCUAAGGCGAGGCCGAAAGGCGUAGUCGAUGGGAAACGGGUCAAUAUUCCCGUACCUCACUGUAUUGCGAUGGGGGGACGAAGAAGGCUAGGUGAGCCAGGCGUUGGUAGUCCUGGUGAAAGUCGGUAGGCCAGUGGUUCAGGUAAAUCCGGACCGCUCUCUUCAUGGAGACAGCCGAGAGACGAGACGAACACCCCACGGGGUGGAAGUCAUCGAUGCCACGCUUCCAGGAAAAGCCUCUAAGCUUCAGAUACAGUGGGACCGUACCCCAAACCGACACAGGUGGUCAGGUAGAGAAUACCAAGGCGCUUGAGAGAACUCGGGUGAAGGAACUAGGCAAAAUGGUGCCGUAACUUCGGGAGAAGGCACGCCGCGUUAGUGUGAAGGCCCUCGCGGCCGGAGCACGAGGCGGUCGAAGAUACCAGGUGGCUGCAACUGUUUAUUAAAAACACAGCACUCUGCAAACGCGCAAGCGGACGUAUAGGGUGUGACGCCUGCCCGGUGCCGGAAGGUUAAUUGAUGGUGUUAGCCCUCGGGCGACGCUCCUGAUCGAAGCCCCGGUAAACGGCGGCCGUAACUAUAACGGUCCUAAGGUAGCGAAAUUCCUUGUCGGGUAAGUUCCGACCUGCACGAAUGGCGUAAUGAUGGCCACGCUGUCUCCACCCGAGACUCAGUGAAAUUGAAAUCGCAGUGAAGAUGCUGUGUACCCGCGGCUAGACGGAAAGACCCCGUGAACCUUUACUAUAGCUUCACACUGGACGCUGAUGUUGCCUGUGUAGGAUAGCUGGGAGGCUAGGAACCCCGGACGCCAGUUCGGGGGGAGCCGACCUUGAAAUACCAGCCUGGCAUCAUUGGCGUUCUAACUCAGGUCCGUUAUCCGGAUCGAGGACAGUGUGUGGUGGGUAGUUUGACUGGGGCGGUCUCCUCCUAAAGAGUAACGGAGGAGCACGAAGGUACCCUCAGCACGGUCGGAAAUCGUGCAGUGAGUGCAAGAGCAUAAGGGUGCUUGACUGCGAGACAGACACGUCGAGCAGGUACGAAAGUAGGUUCUAGUGAUCCGGUGGUUCUGUAUGGAAGGGCCAUCGCUCAACGGAUAAAAGGUACUCCGGGGAUAACAGGCUGAUACCGCCCAAGAGUUCACAUCGACGGCGGUGUUUGGCACCUCGAUGUCGGCUCAUCACAUCCUGGGGCUGAAGUCGGUCCCAAGGGUAUGGCUGUUCGCCAUUUAAAGUGGUACGCGAGCUGGGUUUAGAACGUCGUGAGACAGUUCGGUCCCUAUCUGCCGUGGGCGUUGGACGUUUGAGAAGAGCUGCUCCUAGUACGAGAGGACCGGAGUGGACGCACCUCUGGUGUUCCGGUUGUCACGCCAGUGGCACUGCCGGGUAGCUAUGUGCGGACAGGAUAACCGCUGAAAGCAUCUAAGCGGGAAGCCCCCUUCAAGAUGAGACGUCCCCGAGGCCUCGAGCCUCCUGAAGGGCCCAGCGAGACCAGCUGGUUGAUAGGCCGGGUGUGGAAGCGCUGCAAGGCGUUGAGCUAACCGGUACUAAUGGCCCGUGAGGCUUGACCAUAUAACCCCAAGGGGU